AAUAAGUCUGAUGUGAAAGCCCUCGGCUUUAACCGAGGAACUGCAUCGGAAACUGUUUUUCUUGAGUGCAGAAGAGGAGAGUGGAACUCCAUGUGUAGCGGUGGAAUGCGUAGAUAUAUGGAAGAACACCAGUGGCGAAGGCGGCUCUCUGGUCUGCAACUGACGCUGAGGCUCGAAAGCAUGGGUAGCGAACAGGAUUAGAUACCCUGGUAGUCCAUGCCGUAAACGAUGAGUGCUAAGUGUUGGGAGGUUUCCGCCUCUCAGUGCUGCAGCUAACGCAUUAAGCACUCCGCCUGGGGAGUACGACCGCAAGGUUGAAACUCAAAGGAAUUGACGGGGGCCCGCACAAGCGGUGGAGCAUGUGGUUUAAUUCGAAGCAACGCGAAGAACCUUACCAGGUCUUGACAUCUAGUGCCAUUUGUAGAGAUACAAAGUUCCCUUCGGGGACGCUAAGACAGGUGGUGCAUGGCUGUCGUCAGCUCGUGUCGUGA
RNAcentral lists this ribosomal RNA (491 nucleotides) under Lactobacillus crispatus. RNAcentral describes it as "bacterial SSU rRNA". It matches the Rfam family "Bacterial small subunit ribosomal RNA", at positions 582 to 1070 of the family's 1533-position model. Lineage: Bacteria; Bacillati; Bacillota; Bacilli; Lactobacillales; Lactobacillaceae. The record is from RNAcentral.